UAUUGUCUAUCACUUGACUCAUUUAUCUAUCAUUAACCAUGUUUCAAUUGUCAUGUGAAUAUGCACGUGUUCUCAAUUUGAGAACUUGCUAAUGUGCUAUACAUUAGAAUACUUAUUUAUUUACAUGCGCAAGAUGUGCAUAUAUUUGCUAGAACACUUAAAUUUUUAAAUGAACAUAUAUAUAAGUAAUAUAUUUUGGAAAAACAACACAAAACAGUUUAGACUGUUUAAUUCCAUUUAAACACCGUGUAAAUGGCUAAACGCUAAACAAAAGGCGCCCGUACUGUUUAGCAUUUAGGAUAACAUUGAUUGCAUGUAACCCAGAACAUGAUUAUUUAUGCUAAGUUUGGAC
Molecule: long non-coding RNA, 352 nt
Filed under: Zea mays
Lineage: Eukaryota; Viridiplantae; Streptophyta; Magnoliopsida; Poales; Poaceae
Description: long non-coding RNA (ZMAY_LNC005543)
Source: RNAcentral